RNAcentral lists this ribosomal RNA (491 nucleotides) under uncultured bacterium. RNAcentral describes it as "partial 16S ribosomal RNA". It matches the Rfam family "Bacterial small subunit ribosomal RNA", at positions 29 to 507 of the family's 1533-position model. The record is from RNAcentral.
AGUGAACGCUGGCGGUAGGCCUAACACAUGCAAGUCGAACGGCAGCACAGUAAGAGCUUGCUCUUACGGGUGGCGAGUGGCGGACGGGUGAGGAAUACAUCGGAAUCUACUUUUUCGUGGGGGAAAAGGUGGGGAAACUUAGCCUAUUACCGCAUACGACCUACGGGUGAAAGAGGGGGAUCUUCGGACCUUGCGCGAUUGAAUGGGCCGAUGUCGGAUUAGCUAGUUGGCGGGGUAAAGGCCCACCAAGCCGACGAUCCGUAGCUGGUCUGAGAGGAUGAUCAGCCACACUGGAACUGAGACACGGUCCAGACUCCUACGGGAGGCAGCAGUGGGGAAUAUUGACAAAGGGCGCAAGCCUGAUCCAGCCAUACCGCGUGGGUGAAGAAGGCCUUCGGGUUGUAAAGCCCUUUUGUUGGGAAAGAAAAGCAGCAGGUUAAUACCCCGCUGUUCUGACGGUACCCAAAGAAUAAGCACCGGCUAACUUCGUG